Long non-coding RNA from Spinacia oleracea (spinach), 2831 nucleotides. RefSeq lists it as uncharacterized. Lineage: Eukaryota; Viridiplantae; Streptophyta; Magnoliopsida; Caryophyllales; Amaranthaceae. The record is from RefSeq and is a predicted model, not a curated record. The transcript is spliced from 3 exons.
UGUUGAUCUUAACUAAAAUCUAAAUUUCAACAAACUUGCGCACAUCUUAUUAAUUGCUUGAAUCUACACAAGUAUUAAUCUUAUGUGAGCAAAAAAAAAAAAAAUGGUCUUUAAGUAUUAUGAUUACUUGAAUACAUGAUUUUACAUUGCAUUUUAAUAAUAUAAAUAUUACUUUUACUAUUUAAUUAGUAGGAUCUUACGAUCCAACGAUCCGAUUCUACUGAUCCAAUCCUACUCCCUUCACCGAUCUAAUUUAGGAUCCCGAUCCUGACAACCUUGGUUGAAUGUAAGUCACCUCAAUCUUUCAAAAAAAUAAAAAUAAAACUAUUGCCUCUGUUAUUUCUAUAUGUGCUUAAUAUUUACGAUUUUCGGAAAUAUUAUACGAAGUAAUAAAGUUGAUACAGUGAUUGGGUGUAAAAAAAAAUUUGAUAAAAUAAGAUAAUGUAACAAGGUGGGUUAAUGUAAGAAAUAGUUGGAUAAAAUAAGAGAGAGGCGUAAAUGGUUUGGGUAAAAGGGAUAAUAUAGUAAAUGAGGUUUUUGUAAACACCAAAUUUGUGUCUCCCCUUUUUAGCGUCUAAUAACGGAUUUAACCUAGUCUAAAAAAAAAAGUUCCGAUCAAUGAGAUUUUGCCCUGUAAUUAAGACAAAAAUCUGUACAUGAUAUGCCUCAUAUUCGACACUCAGGCCCCUUUGUAAAAAUAGCUGCUUCUUCCCUUCCCAUAGUAAAACUUCUAAACCAAUUGUCUGUUGGUUCAGUGGUGAUUGAGACUAAACUUGGUAGGGAGAAGUCGCAUAACCCGUGUUCAAUCCCUCUCAACAACAAUUGCGAGGGGACUGAAACCUAUCCAACCAGAACUCGCCCCCAAAUCCGUUUUAACCCCAAUGGUAAACCCCAUCAUCAAGAACUUCUUUUCAAGUUGCAUAUAAUUUGGAUACUUUAAAUGUUGAUUUAGAGGCUAGAACUUGCACAUGUAAGAGGUGAGACCUAACUGGUGUACCAUGUGCCCAUGCAGUGGCUUGCAUAUUCUUUUGUCAAUAUAACCCCGAGGAUUAUGUUGCGAAUUGUUAUAAGAAAGAUACUUACUUAAAGAGUUAGGCUGCGUUCUAUUCACCUGAUUUUCACUUAUUUUUCCUGAACUUAUCUUAUCUGAACUUAUCUGAACUUAUCUGAACUUAACUGAACUUAUCUGAACUUAUCUGAACUUAUUAGAACUUAUUAGAACUUAUCAAAACUUAUUUUAGUUAUAAAUUGUACUUGGCCAACCCUUAUUUUUCCUGAAAUUAUCUUAUCUGAACUUAUCUGAACUUAUUUUUCCUGAAAUAAGUGAAAAUAAGGUGAAAAGAACAGGGCCUUACAGAAACACUAUCCCACCUAUUGUUGGUGAGAGACAUUGGCCAAGGGUAGAUUUACCACUUCAUCCACCUCCCAUCAAAAUAGGACCUGGUAGGCCCAGGAUAAAUAGGAGAAAAGCCCCCCAUGGGAACCCCAAGAAGCCCGGGAGACUGACUAAACAUGGUAUUGAAAUGACUUGCUCUAUUUGUAAAUCAAAGCUUCACAACAAGAGAAGAUGCCCCGAUAAGGAUAAAGUUAUGGAACAACCACAAAAAAGACAAAGAGUAGAUAAAAACAAUGAUGUGGCAUCCUCUUCGGCAACUUCAUACCAUGUUGAUCAGUCCAGUGACGGACCUUGAACGGUUUUAUGAGGGGGGCCGGUAGAAAAAAAUUAAGCAAUAUACUAUUUAAUUAUACAAUUAUACACAAAUUUUAGGGGGGACCGUAACUAAAAAUACACUACAAAAUUUUUCGGCUGGGGGGCCAGGCCCACCUCCAGUAUUGAAUGCCAUUGCUGAGCCAACCGGGAUUGGAAAGGGGGGAGAGUUAUUAGGAGUGGAAAGGGUUCUAGAGGUGGAAGGAGAAGUAGAGGAGGCAAAACAGGAAAUACACUAAGUGGAAAAGAGAAAAGGGACAGGAAGGACAAUCACUGUACCUCAAGGAUUUGGUGUAUAUAAUGCUUGGGAGUGGCUCAAGCGAUGACCUGCGGAGCUGGGCUGGUUAACCUGUGCUAGGUGCUGGUUCAGUUAGGGUCCAUUCUUCUUACCUAUUAAAAAAAAAAAAAAAAAAAGGAUUUGGUGUAUUUAUUGAUAACUAGACCUGGUUAUUGGAUAGGGUAGUCCAAUGGAUAUAGGGUUAGGGUCAAGUUAAUAGGGCUUUUAUUGGGCAGGGCUCUUAUUGGACAGGGCCUUUAUUGGACAGGGUCAUUAUAGGGUCAAACUUAUACUACACUUAUUUUGAAAAUUAAAAUAGUAAUGAUACAAAAAAUUACGUGUGUAGCUUCGUAUUUACUUGUACUUGCACAUGACUCUUUUGUUUUUCAUUUUUCAUUGCUCGCUUAUUGACCCGCCCACUAAUGACCCGCGACCCGCUUUUAACCUGCCCGUUAUCGACCCGCUAAAAAUGACCCUUUCAAUACCCGACCCUCUUUUGACCCGCAUCGACCCUGACCCGACCCGCUCGAUAACUAGGUCUAUUGACAACCAUGGUUCAGCAUUUGUAAAUACACCUGGUCAGAUUGGAGGGCCUAGGGAUGUGACUCAAGCAUCAACUUCGGCAAGUGGAAGUCAAGCAUCUACUGCCACCAACUAGUGUCAAAUAUGUUCUUUUGGGAGCUAAAAAAUUCAACCAUGUAGUAGUUGUAGAAACUCGUAAAAUAUGCUCUUUUGGAUAUCAGUUAAAAAUCAAUCCGUGGACUAUGGACCAUGAUGCACAUAGAGCAUGGUGCACCAUGUGCACAAAAAGAACACAUGUGUAUAAACAAAAGAACAUGACACUAC